AGAGUUUGAUCCUGGCUCAGGAUGAACGCUGGCGGCGUGCUUAACACAUGCAAGUCGAACGAUCCUUCGGGAUAGUGGCGGACGGGUGAGUAACGCGUGGGAAUCUGCCCUCAGGAGGGGGAUAACGGCUGGAAACGGCCGCUAAUACCCCAUAUGCCGAGAGGUGAAAUGAAUUUCGCCUGAGGAUGAGCCCGCGUCUGAUUAGCUAGUUGGUGGGGUAAAGGCCUACCAAGGCAACGAUCAGUAGCUGGUCUGAGAGGAUGAUCAGCCACACUGGGACUGAGACACGGCCCAGACUCCUACGGGAGGCAGCAGUGGGGAAUUUUCCGCAAUGGGCGAAAGCCUGACGGAGCAACGCCGCGUGAGGGAUGAAGGCCUCUGGGCUGUAAACCUCUUUUCUCAAGGAAGAAGACCUGACGGUACUUGAGGAAUAAGCCACGGCUAAUUCCGUGCCAGCAGCCGCGGUAAUACGGGAGUGGCAAGCGUUAUCCGGAAUUAUUGGGCGUAAAGCGUCCGCAGGCGGCCUUGUAAGUCUGUUGUUAAAGCGUGGAGCUCAACUCCAUUUAAGCAAUGGAAACUACAAGGCUGGAGUGUGGUAGGGGCAGAGGGAAUUCCCGGUGUAGCGGUGAAAUGCGUAGAUAUCGGGAAGAACACCAGUGGCGAAGGCGCUCUGCUGGGCCAUAACUGACGCUCAUGGACGAAAGCCAGGGGAGCGAAAGGGAUUAGAUACCCCUGUAGUCCUGGCCGUAAACGAUGAACACUAGGUGUCGGGGGAAUCGACCCCCUCGGUGUCGUAGCCAACGCGUUAAGUGUUCCGCCUGGGGAGUACGCACGCAAGUGUGAAACUCAAAGGAAUUGACGGGGGCCCGCACAAGCGGUGGAGUAUGUGGUUUAAUUCGAUGCAACGCGAAGAACCUUACCAGGGUUUGACAUCCUGCGAACCCCCGAGAAAUCGGGGGGUGCCUUCGGGAGCGCAGAGACAGGUGGUGCAUGGCUGUCGUCAGCUCGUGUCGUGAGAUGUUGGGUUAAGUCCCGCAACGAGCGCAACCCACGUCUUUAGUUGCCAGCAUUCAGUUGGGCACUCUAGAGAGACCGCCGGUGAUAAACCGGAGGAAGGUGUGGAUGACGUCAUGUCAUCAUGCCCCUUACAUCCUGGGCUACACACGUACUACAAUGCUACGGACAAAGGGCAGCAAGCUCGCGAGAGUUAGCAAAUCCCAUAAACCGUGGCUCAGUUCAGAUCGUAGGCUGCAACUCGCCUACGUGAAGGAGGAAUCGCUAGUAAUCGCAGGUCAGCAUACUGCGGUGAAUACGUUCCCGGGCCUUGUACC
RNAcentral lists this ribosomal RNA (1331 nucleotides) under metagenome. Its description in RNAcentral is "bacterial SSU rRNA". It matches the Rfam family "Bacterial small subunit ribosomal RNA". The record is from RNAcentral.